This 2660-nucleotide long non-coding RNA is filed under the name Gossypium barbadense (sea-island cotton). RNAcentral's name for it is "long non-coding RNA (GBAR_LNC011927)". The record is from RNAcentral. Lineage: Eukaryota; Viridiplantae; Streptophyta; Magnoliopsida; Malvales; Malvaceae.
CCGCUACCAAGCUGUAUAAAUCCACAGGCGAAGAAGUUUCCGUGCUGUUUCGUUUCCCUCAACAAUUAUUUUCGUAAUCUGAUUGGGUCCGCUCCUAAUCAGUCCCAAUACAGACAACCAACCUGCAGGUUAGUCCAUUUACACACGUAUUUAAGAUUUUACACAUUAUUUUAUACAAAAAAGAACACAUUAUAAUUUGGAAGAUUUAAUAAUUAAUUGUAAAUUUAUAACCAAAUGAGCUGAAACCUGAAAGUCAAAGUAUCUCAAAUUCCAGGUGUCCUAAGAUCUUCGUAUAACAGUCGUGCCACGUCAUUGGCGUUAAUAGUCAACAGGUGAUGGGAAAGGAAUGAUACUGGAUAAGCGGAUAUGCUCUCACUGCCUAUUAAGAAUGUCUUUUUAUUCUUCUUUGGAUAUGCGAAUAUGCUUUUGCUACUCCUAAUUCGUACUUUCUAUAUAUAAUUAAACUUAGCAAGUGGAUUCAUGCAAUUAUUCUCCAUAUUUCUUUCCAGAAAUUACCCUUACCCCACGUUGAGCUCGGCAGUCCAUUUUUUGGACACUCUGACCGAAAUCACCUUGGAUCCUCCAUAAUUAGCCUGAAAAAAAGUCGGUAGGUGAGAUAUGUUGGAUUCUUUGGUGUAGAUAUUUAUAAAAGUUGCAAGCUUCUUUAAAUGGUUAACUAAUAUGAAAAGGAAGGGCAUAUGGAUGCGGUGGGUGUAUCCUCAAGUCAACCAUUAUAAUGCAUUAAAACCAAAUUUAAUGGGUUAUUUGCACGUUGAAAGAAAAUCAUUUAUCCAUUCCAGCUAUUUAAGUUGAAAUAUUUUAGUCGAAUAGAAUAUAUUAUUAUAAAUUUAUUUUAUAUGAUAUAAAUUAUAGAAUAUAUGAAAUUAGUGGAAUAGUUCCUAGCUCGGUUAGUAACAAAAUUAGUUGUCGAUGCAGGAAGACAUGAGUUCUAUAGUAUUAAAAUAUAUUUAUCCUCUUUUCUAAUGAUUGAAAGAAGGAUUAUGAGUAGUUUUAAAACUUGUAUCAGUAAAAUAUACUAUAUUUCAUAAUUAGAAAAUAGAUUGGGUUAGAUUAUAAAAAUAGGAGUCCAAAUUCGAUCUAUAAUUUAAAUGUAUUUUUUUUUACGGUUUCUAAUCCUAAUAUUUUUUAUGAACUCUAUUACAUAUGGAUCAAGAUUUUAAUUUUUUUAAUAUUCUUUGAAGUUUAUGAUUAUCUGAAAAUUUUUUUUAAAUUUUAACAAAUAAUCCACCUUUAAACAAAUUUAUUAUUGGACGGCAUACUUUUUCCAGAACACAGGAAAUUUCUUAAUUUGCUUACGUUGGUUAGAUGGUGACAAAUUUUGGACUAAAGGACGACCCUUCCCUAACCUUUGCUCGUCAGUGAGACGCUAUAACUUGGACGUGCGUGCUUUUUCCAGAACCCGGAAAUUUUCUUAAUUUGCUAUGUUUGGCAAUUGCUGAGAAAUUUUCGACUACAGGACGUUUCUUCCCUAACCUUCGAAUAAAACAAACAUGAUUCCCAGCAUCAGCGUACGUCAAGAAAAGUACAAGCGAUAAACUAAAACGCACACUUGUACUAGCUGCUACUUGUAGUUCGUGUCAUUGUGCAUGAUUUUGCGUAGCCAAUCGUUCAACUUCUUCAUACAUGCAGCGUUAUAUAUAUUACAAUAUACCCUCAACGUAUAACACUAAACUCUUUACAACAGUAUUUUAUUAUAAUACUUAUAGAAUCAAUUUUUAUAUUUUAUUUUAACUUUUUAUGACAACUACAAAAUACGUUUUUUUAAUUAAAUUAAUUUUUCAUAAUAGUUAUUUUUCUUCAAAUUUUAAUAAAAUUAGUUUUUAUUACUACGUGAAAUACAAUUAAUAAAUUUUAAUUAUUUUUAACAAAUAUAUUUAAAUUUUACAUAAAAAGUCUAGUAAGCAUACUUUAUUAAAUUAAGUUACAUUUAGAAAAUUUAUCAAAAUGAUAUAAUCUAAAUCUCACUAACUAAUAUAUAAAUCUUAAAUAUUGUUAUAGGUAUAUAUAUAUAACAAGUAUCAUUCUAUAACACCCAAAAUUUUAGUAAAAGACUGUUAUAGAAAAUGUUGAUUGUAUUAACUUUUUAUAUAUGUGUAAAGAUAUAAUUGUUGACGGAUGUUGACUUCUAGUGACUAAUUAUAUAUCAAUCAACAUGAUUAAAAUUUAAUUUGAUUUUUUAAUUUUUAUUUAAAUUUAUAUGUGCUUGGAAAUUAUAUAUAUUUUUAAUUGUCUAAAAACAGCAAUAAUUUUAAUUUUUAAUUAAAUUUACAUAUCAGGGAAAAGAAAAGAUGUUAACUUUACCGUCCUAUACUUGUUAUUGAUAUGUCUGACGUAGAAUGUAAGACAAUCUAUGAUCAAGAGAGUACGCAAAGAUUAAUAUAAAAUUAAUUGCGUUAGGGUUUAGGGUAUACCAUGCUUAUUUCUAAACUAUAAUUAAUUUCAAGAAAAAUAUGUUAUAAAUGAACAAAUUUUUUUUCUCUUUUUAAAUUCACUUUCACAUGUGAGUUUAUUGCAAGAAACAGCGUUAUGCAUGUAAACGAAACACGUGUUUUUCUCAAAGUGCAAUUGAGUAAAUUUACCUGAAAUUAGAGCUGUACAUGAAUUAGAAAUCCAAAUCUUGAUUGGGGACUUAAAUAGGG